This 491-nucleotide ribosomal RNA is filed under the name uncultured bacterium. RNAcentral describes it as "partial 16S ribosomal RNA". It matches the Rfam family "Bacterial small subunit ribosomal RNA", at positions 29 to 507 of the family's 1533-position model. The record is from RNAcentral.
AGUGAACGCUGGCGGUAGGCCUAACACAUGCAAGUCGAACGGCAGCACAGUAAGAGCUUGCUCUUACGGGUGGCGAGUGGCGGACGGGUGAGGAAUACAUCGGAAUCUACUUUUUCGUGGGGGAUAACGUAGGGAAACUUACGCUAAUACCGCAUACGACCUACGGGUGAAAGCAGGGGAUCUUCGGACCUUGCGCGAUUGAAUGAGCCGAUGUCGGAUUAGCUAGUUGGCGGGGUAAAGGCCCACCAAGGCGACGAUCCGUAGCUGGUCUGAGAGGAUGAUCAGCCACCCUGGAACUGAGACACGGUCCAGACUCCUACGGGGGGCAGCAGUGGGGAAUAUUGGACAAUGGGCGCAAGCCUGAUCCAGCCAUGCCGCGUGGGUGAAGAAGGCCGUCGGGUUGUAAAGCCCUUUUGUUGGGAAAGAAAAGCAGCAGGUUAAUACCCCGCUGUUCUGACGGUACCCAAGAAUAAGCACCGGCUAACUUCGUG